GACGAACGCUGGCGGCGUGCUUAACACAUGCAAGUCGAACGGAAAGGCCCUGCUUUUGUGGGGUGCUCGAGUGGCGAACGGGUGAGUAACACGUGAGUAACCUGCCCUUGACUUUGGGAUAACUUCAGGAAACUGGGGCUAAUACCGGAUAGGAGCUCCUGCUGCAUGGUGGGGGUUGGAAAGUUUCGGCGGUUGGGGAUGGACUCGCGGCUUAUCAGCUUGUUGGUGGGGUAGUGGCUUACCAAGGCUUUGACGGGUAGCCGGCCUGAGAGGGUGACCGGCCACAUUGGUACUGAGAUACGGCCCAGACUCCUACGGUAGGCAGCAGUGGGGAAUAUUGCACAAUGGGCGGAAGCCUGAUGCAGCAACGCCGCGUGCGGGAUGACUGCCUUCGGGUUGUAAACCGCUUUCGCCUGUGACGAAGCGUGAGUGACGGUAAUGGGUAAAGAAGCACCGGCUAACUACGUG
Molecule: ribosomal RNA, 468 nt
Filed under: uncultured bacterium
Lineage: Bacteria
Description: partial 16S ribosomal RNA
Rfam family: Bacterial small subunit ribosomal RNA
Source: RNAcentral